ACCGCCCGUCACACCACGAGAGUUUGUAACACCCGAAGCCGGUGGGGUAACCCGUAAGGGAGCUAGCCGUCGAAGGUGGGACAGAUGAUUGGGGUGAAGUCGUAACAAGGUAGCCGUAUCGGAAGGUGCGGCUGGAUCACCUCCUUU
Ribosomal RNA from Desulfuribacillus alkaliarsenatis, 147 nucleotides. It matches the Rfam family "Bacterial small subunit ribosomal RNA", at positions 1388 to 1533 of the family's 1533-position model. The record is from Rfam. Lineage: Bacteria; Bacillati; Bacillota; Desulfuribacillia; Desulfuribacillales; Desulfuribacillaceae.